CUGGGGGAAUUUUGUAAAAAAGCUUGAUUUAUUAGGUUUUCAGAGCAAAAGUCCGGUUAUUUUUGGGUCCCCCCUCAUAUGUUAGCAGACUUAACCGGUGUCUCCAUAGCAUCAAUCUUCAGAAUAAGGAGGGAAGUGAAGACAACAGGCAAAGUGUUAACGCUGAAGCAACCACAAAGUCGAGUUGAAAUAACUGAUCAUUUAACUAAGUAUGAUGCUUUUACUAAAUUGGCAAUCCAUAGAAAGCUAUAUGAAUUAAGAAAAAUGAUGUUUAUACUGCAUAAUUGCUAAAUACGUUAAUAAACUGUAGAAUAACAGACAACACUUGAUGCAGUUGUGGGAUAC
RNAcentral lists this long non-coding RNA (345 nucleotides) under Androctonus crassicauda. The record is from RNAcentral. Lineage: Eukaryota; Metazoa; Arthropoda; Arachnida; Scorpiones; Buthidae.